This 253-nucleotide ribosomal RNA is filed under the name uncultured bacterium. Its description in RNAcentral is "partial 16S ribosomal RNA". It matches the Rfam family "Bacterial small subunit ribosomal RNA", at positions 524 to 776 of the family's 1533-position model. The record is from RNAcentral.
UACAGAGGGUGCGAGCGUUAAUCGGAAUUACUGGGCGUAAAGCGCACGUAGGCGGCUUGGUAUGUCGGGUGUGAAAUCCCCGGGCUCAACCUGGGAACUGCAUCCGAAACUGCCCUGCUCGAGUAUGGGAGAGGGAAGUGGAAUUUCCGGUGUAGCGGUGAAAUGCGUAGAUAUCGGAAGGAACAUCAGUGGCGAAGGCGACUUCCUGGACCAAUACUGACGCUCAGGUGCGAAAGCGUGGGGAGCAAACAGG